CUUGGUCAUUUAGAGGAAGUAAAAGUCGUAACAAGGUCUCCGUUGGUGAACCAGCGGAGGGAUCAUUACCGAGUACUAUAACUCAUAACCCUUUGUGAACCUUUAUACCUGUUGCUUCGGCGGCGCGCCUCCCGGGGCGUGCCCGCCGGCAUUAUCAGAAUCUCUGUUCGAACCCGACGAUACAUCUGAGUGUUCUAAGCGAACUGUUAAAACUUUCAACAACGGAUCUCUUGGCUCCAGCAUCGAUGAAGAACGCAGCGAAACGCGAUAUGUAAUGUGAAUUGCAGAAUUCAGUGAAUCAUCGAAUCUUUGAACGCACAUGGCGCCUUCCAGUAUCCUGGGAGGCAUGCCUGUCCGAGCGUCGUUUCAACCCUCGAGCCCCCGUGGCCCGGCGUUGGGGAUCUGCCCAGGCAGUCCCCGAAAACCAGUGGCGGACCCGUUGGGCCCUUCCUUUGCGUAGUAACAUCUGCCUCGCAUCGGGAGCCUGCGGGCUAUCCGGCCUCUAAACCCCCCUCAAGCCCGCUCCGGCGGCACCAAGGUUGACCUCGGAUCAGGUAGGAAUACCCGCUGAACUUAAGCAUAUCAAUAAGCGGAGGAAAAGAAACCAACAGGGGUUGCCUCAGUAACGGCGAGUGAAGCGGCAACAGCUCAAAUUUGAAAUCUGGCUCCUUCGGGGCCCGAGUUGUAAUUUGCAGAGGAUGCUUCGGGUACGGGUUCCUUCCGAGUUCCCUGGAACGGGACGCCAUAGAGGGUGAGAGCCCCGUCUGGUAGGACACCCAGCCCGUGUGAAGCUCCCUCGACGAGUCGAGUUGUUUGGGAAU
RNAcentral lists this small RNA (821 nucleotides) under uncultured Verticillium. RNAcentral's name for it is "eukaryotic LSU rRNA". The stretch from base 541 to 821 matches the Rfam family "Eukaryotic large subunit ribosomal RNA", at positions 1 to 281 of the family's 3401-position model. Lineage: Eukaryota; Fungi; Ascomycota; Sordariomycetes; Hypocreales. The record is from RNAcentral.